GGGAAAAUACUUUCACUAGGGGACAUAGAACAAUUCUCAAUAACUACACCUACCACCUACUCACUUCAAUAUCCUUGUGCUAAGAGAUGAUUGGACAAAUAAGACAACAUAUCGCAAUGCUACUUGAUCUUGAUAAUUAGAAGGGGGAAGGGUCUGUUGUUAUGCAAUGAACAGGGAAGAAUAUUUUGUACGUUGGUGAUAUAAUUUAAUAUUUCUUUGUAAUAUCUCAUUUGCUUUAUUUUAAAUGGACAGGACCACUAGCUCCAGCUUGAUAAGGGCAUGGUGACUUGACUGGUGUAUCAGAUGCCUUAAAGAUGAGGGUCUAAGUUUAAGUAAACUUUAUUCCCAGGAACACUAGUCAAGGAUUCACCAGGAAAAAUGCUUACCAGAAUCACAGAGGAGCCUGUUCCUGAAUUGAGAAGAAUAGUUUAGACUAUGGUGAAUGCUAUGUUGUGCCAGUCAGAACCUUUUCCACCUUCAGGACUGACACAUUCAUUCCUCUAUUUUCUGUUAAUGUUGUUGGCUGAGAGCUUUUGGCUAAAUUUCUCUUUAAGAAUUUGUUCCUCUGAAAAGUGCUGUCAUUCUGAAUAUCACACCUCUUUCCUUAUACAACCCACAGCCAAUGACCGGUGAUGCAGAGUAAUGCUGGCCCAGUUCCUUUGCUUUGAUUUAUGACAAUGUGAAGAAUUAUUUCAAUUCCAGAGCUCUUCACAAUGUUUGCUGAGGUCCUUUGGCAAUUUCUCUUUUUACGCAAUGCUGCUUCCUUUAGUGCCAGAGCCGCUGGGUUACGGUCUCCCCAACCGAGCUGGUCUCGGCAACCAACCCCAACCAGAAAAGAGUUGGCUUUGCCUCUUGGAAAGGACAGAGGAGAGAUUCCCAGCAACGGAAUGAACUGCAAACCACCCAGUAACAUGCCCCAAAGAGAAAGCUUCCACUUUAAAUAUUCACUAAGUUAA
RNAcentral lists this long non-coding RNA (956 nucleotides) under Pan paniscus (pygmy chimpanzee). RNAcentral's name for it is "lncRNA (ENSPPAG00000045496.1)". The record is from RNAcentral. Lineage: Eukaryota; Metazoa; Chordata; Mammalia; Primates; Hominidae.